Molecule: transfer RNA, 76 nt
Filed under: Acidobacteriota bacterium
Lineage: Bacteria; Pseudomonadati; Acidobacteriota
Also listed under: 2 other names
Description: Acidobacteria bacterium (permafrost metagenome) tRNA-Thr
Rfam family: tRNA
About the family: Transfer RNA (tRNA) molecules are approximately 80 nucleotides in length. Their secondary structure includes four short double-helical elements and three loops (D, anti-codon, and T loops). Further hydrogen bonds mediate the characteristic L-shaped molecular structure. tRNAs have two regions of fundamental functional importance: the anti-codon, which is responsible for specific mRNA codon recognition, and the 3' end, to which the tRNAs corresponding amino acid is attached (by aminoacyl-tRNA synthetases). tRNAs cope with the degeneracy of the genetic code in two manners: having more than one tRNA (with a specific anti-codon) for a particular amino acid; and 'wobble' base-pairing, i.e. permitting non-standard base-pairing at the 3rd anti-codon position.
Source: RNAcentral
GCCCGAGUGGCGCAAUGGUAGCGCAACCGACUUGUAAUCGGUAGGUUGGUGGGUUCGAAUCCCCCCUCGGGCUCCA